AUGGAUCCCAGCCAGCCUUUCAGUGACACACGUCCAUAUCCAGGACAGUCUGGGGUCACUGUACAGCCUCCAGUUUUUGUGACUACUGCUCCACUAGCCAGUCUAGUUCCAGAUUACUUGGGUUACUCCAUCUUCACCUUUCUGUUCUGCUGUUUUCCUCUGGGCAUUGCUGCGCUAGUUUUCUCCUCCUCUACUCGAGAUGCCAUCUACUCAGGACAGCAAGAAUUAGCAAAGAGGAAUUCCAAAAUGGCGCUCAUGCUGAAUAAUAUCAACCUUGGGAUUGGCUUGGUUACUUUUGUAAUUAUUUCCAGGAUGUUGUAUUUCAGAUAAAAGCUUUUAGAGCUGACAUGGCUGGAUGCAGAUUACAAACAGAUUUGUGUUUUUCUUUAUUUUAAAUGUUACUUGCUCAAUUUAAGGCUGAUUAUUCUAUGUUUAAACUAAUUCUACCAUGCAGUUUUCUGUUCUCUUUACUUCUAAAAUGUUUUGUUUAGGCUUUUGGCUUAUUUUAAAUAUCUUGUGUGCAGCUGUGCUUGUUUUUUUUUUUUUUUUCAUUGAUCAACCAACUUAAACAGAAAUGAAAGUUUUAGUCAACUACUCAAAUCAGAAAGUAUAUAAUGGGAACACCAGUAUCAGAAAAGUUUAGUAAGUUUUACUUAAUAAAAAAAAAUCAUUUUUUUUUAUUACCUGAACUAACUUUUUCGUGUAGAAAUUAAAUUGUUUUUUUUCUGUAGUAUUUACUUCACCACACAAUCAUUUUUAUCAGUGUAGCAUGGACUGCUGACAGAAAGAAAACUAGUUUGUUAUGACGGCUAAUAAUUAUUUCUGAAUAAGACAACACUUUGCUACAUUUCUAAUACCAUAUUGUAAUACAUUGCUUGUCCAAAAAUAAAUAAAUAAUGCUUUUCGAACAAUUAGGUCUAGAUGUACAGGUAGUUUUGAAAAAGUGACCUAUUUUCAGAAAUGUUUCCCAGCAUUUGUAAAUAAAAACUGUAGCCUAAUUGGAGGGAAGUUAGAGUAAAUCUUUUUUUUUUCUAUUGUUCUUUGAGAAAAUAUUAUAUUUUUUAGAGGUAUUGAAUUUUUUAUUUUCCUAAGCUGUACGUCAUAACCAUCAGAAUUAAAACAAAAACUCUUGAAAUAGUUCAGUUUGUGUGCAAUGAAUCUAGGGUAUAAGAGAGUUUGCUUACAAAAAAAUGAGAACUUUUCUGUGAUAAUGUAAUUUUUUUAAGAUUCAUGUAGGGGAGAGACAUACAUAUUUUGUCCUUUAUCUUUGCAAAAAAAUUAUUUAAUUACAUUGUCAUAUUUUCAUUUUAAAUUUAAGUUUCAUCAGAUGUCUCAAAAC
RNAcentral lists this long non-coding RNA (1339 nucleotides) under Carassius auratus (goldfish). Its description in RNAcentral is "lncRNA (ENSCARG00000049339.1)". The record is from RNAcentral. Lineage: Eukaryota; Metazoa; Chordata; Actinopteri; Cypriniformes; Cyprinidae.